UACGGAAGGCAGCAGGGGGAAUAUUGCACAAUGGGCGCAAGCCUGAUGCAGCCAUGCCGCGUGUAUGAAGAAGGCCUUCGGGUUGUAAAGUACUUUCAGUCGUGAGGAAGGUGUUAAGGUUAAUAACCUUAGCAAUUGACGUUAGCGACAGAAGAAGCACCGGCUAACUCCGUGCCAGCAGCCGCGGUAAUACGGAGGGUGCGAGCGUUAAUCGGAAUUACUGGGCGUAAUGGGCACGCAGGCGGUUAAUUAAGUUGGAUGUGAAAUCCCCGGGCUUAACCUGGGAAUGGCAUUCAAGACUGGUUAGCUAGAGUCUUGUAGAGGGGGUAGAAUUCCAUGUGUAGCGGUGAAAUGCGUAGAGAUGUGGAGGAAUACCGGUGGCGAAGGCGGCCCCUGGGACAAAGACUGACGCUCAUGUGCGAAAGCGUGGGGAGCAAACAGGGAUUAGAUACC
Molecule: ribosomal RNA, 453 nt
Filed under: uncultured bacterium
Lineage: Bacteria
Description: bacterial SSU rRNA
Rfam family: Bacterial small subunit ribosomal RNA
Source: RNAcentral